UUCAGGCUCGGGGAGUGAAGGCCUCAUUGAGAGAAGGUCUCAUUCUGUGUUUUGGGAAGAGAGUCGUGUGGGCCCAGGUAUCGUAGCGGCGACACGAGAGAGACGGCCGGUGUGACAGCCUUCCACUACCUGCACGAGUGUAUUGGUAACGUUGGGGUGGGUGCACUCUUUCGGAGCUGGAGGAAGUGCUGCCCUCUGCUCCCCCAUCCCAGCGCUUUGGUUUCUCCCACCCGGCAGUCAUUGGGGGACGCUGGAUGAGCCCAUUUCUGAAGUGCGGAGGGGCCGGGCUUUUUAGGCGGUGGGCGGAGCCUGGGCCUGGGAGAGGAACAGGGCCCUGGAGCACCUGGUUUCGGGGACAGUAGGGUUGGUGGGAGUUACGAUGAUAUUGCCACCUACCUCUUACAUCUUUUAGUGCGUAUGUUCUGUCCACCCAGCUACUGGUUCAUUUGAGUAGAUGGGAGUCAGAUGAGUACAUGUUUACGGGAGGCGCUUGGUUACGGGAUCCAGAUAUGAAUCUUUAUCUGAGCUGCUUGUCAGUUUGUUCAUCUGUCCCUAGGUCUGUCUGCUAUCAGCUAUGCCGCUGCCCGUUGCGCUGCAGACCCGCUUGGCCAAGAGAGGCAUCCUCAAACAUCUGGAGCCUGAACCAGAGGAAGAGAUCAUUGCCGAGGACUAUGACGAUGAUCCUGUGGACUACGAGGCCACCAGGUUGGAGGGCCUACCACCAAGCUGGUACAAGGUGUUCGACCCUUCCUGCGGGCUCCCUUACUACUGGAAUGCAGACACAGACCUCGUAUCCUGGCUCUCCCCACAUGACCCCAACUCUGUGGUUACCAAAUCGGCCAAGAAGCUCAGAAGCAGUAAUGCAGAUGCUGAAGAAAAGUUGGACCGGAGCCAUGACAAGUCGGACAGGGGCCAUGACAAGUCGGACCGCAGCCAUGAGAAACCAGACAGGGGCCACGACAAGUCAGACCGGGGCCACGACAAGUCUGACAGGGAUCGAGAGCGUGGCUAUGACAAGGUAGACAGAGAGAGAGAGCGAGACAGGGAACGGGAUCGGGACCGCGGGUAUGACAAGGCAGACCGGGAAGAGGGCAAAGAACGGCGCCACCAUCGCCGGGAGGAGCUGGCUCCCUACCCCAAGAGCAAGAAGGCAGUAAGCCGAAAGGAUGAAGAGUUAGACCCCAUGGACCCUAGCUCAUACUCAGACGCCCCCCGGGGCACGUGGUCAACAGGACUCCCCAAGCGGAAUGAGGCCAAGACUGGCGCUGACACCACAGCAGCUGGGCCCCUCUUCCAGCAGCGGCCGUAUCCAUCCCCAGGGGCUGUGCUCCGGGCCAAUGCAGAGGCCUCCCGAACCAAGCAGCAGGAUUGAAGCUUCGGCCUCCCUGGCCCUGGGUUAAAAUAAAAGCUUUCUGGUGAUCCUGCCCACC
Molecule: small RNA, 1430 nt
Filed under: Pongo abelii (Sumatran orangutan)
Lineage: Eukaryota; Metazoa; Chordata; Mammalia; Primates; Hominidae
Description: processed transcript
Source: RNAcentral